AUGUUCCAUAGGGUUUUUUUUUUGAAACAGAGGCAUAAGAUUUUGCCUCAUGUACUAAUCGAGAGAACAGAGUUUUACAAGUACCCUCAAAACAACGCAUGGCAAGCGGGGAAGCCCCAUGGCAGUGUCACUGCAGCAGGGAGGGCCUGCAACAGGGGGGGCUGGGGUUGGUUGGGGAGGAGGGUGGUCGGCGGCACCGGGGUGGCCACCGUCGGUGGGCGCUGUUGGUCGCAGGAGCGGGAGCGGGGUGUCAUUUUUUCAAAUGUGACACAGCGCAUAAAGAAGAAACGAUUUGACUGUGUUGAUCCUUUAAGAACAAAAUUAUUUAGAAAUGAUUUGAGGCAGGUUGAGGCAGCAUUGUAG
This 363-nucleotide ribosomal RNA is filed under the name Triticum aestivum (bread wheat). RNAcentral describes it as "partial small subunit ribosomal RNA". The record is from RNAcentral. Lineage: Eukaryota; Viridiplantae; Streptophyta; Magnoliopsida; Poales; Poaceae.